Felis catus (domestic cat) is the source of this 1513-nucleotide long non-coding RNA. RefSeq lists it as uncharacterized. Lineage: Eukaryota; Metazoa; Chordata; Mammalia; Carnivora; Felidae. The transcript has 3 exons. The record is from RefSeq and is a predicted model, not a curated record.
CCCGCCCACUGGGCGUUGGCGGCGGCGGCAGAGCCCGGAAGACCCACCUGGCAGCGGGAUCCCUCUCCCCGCCUCCCCAGCCGCGCGGCCCGGCUCAGGAAGGAGCCUCUCUCCCAGUGACCUCCUAUGGCUGAGAAGAGGGCUCACCUGAAUCCAUCCAUUGAAGGCCAGCAAGGAGUGGGUACUAGCAGGGCAUCCCUGACCCCUCAGCGUCCACAGAGCAGACAACUCCUGCCUUCCUGCUGGCCUCUCUGUGGUUCCUGGAACACCCCAGGCACACCCUCGCCUCAGGGCCUUUGCACACGCUGCCUUGCGCCUUCUGCCUGGAAUGCUGCUCCCUCAAUGUCCUCAGAGCUCCCUCCCUCACCUCCUUCAGGUCGAGUAUCACCUUUCUGCUCUGUGAACAUGUCAACCUCCCCCUCCAGUCUCCAUCCUCUUCCCAACUUUAUUUCCCUCCACAGCCCCUAUAGUCAUCUAACAAAUUGAUUUAGUUUGCUUAUUUAUUCUGUGUAGUAUCUGUCCCUCUCGCUAGAAUGUGAGCUUCACGAGGAUGGAGAUUCUUAUCCCUUUUAUACACAACUUUCUCCGUGGCAUCUGGAUCAUGCCUGGCAUAAAGCAGGCACUCAAUAAGGAAGGAAGGAAUGAAUGAAUGAAUGAAUGAAUGAAUGGUUCUACCACUCCCACAUUUGGGGUGUUCUUGGGCAAACCACUUUUCUGGGCCCCAGUGACCCUGUCCAUGGAAAGCGGAGAGGGAUGGGAUCUGUGAGCAGGAAAUCAAAGCAUCAAGUGAGACCGGAAGUCCCCCUCCCCCCCAACUUUCUGGCUGUGGGCCUGGGGCAAGUGACUUACCCUCUCUGAUGCUCAGCAGAAGAGAAAACUCUACCAAUUAAAACAAACAGCCAAGCUCUUCAAGCUCUUACAAAGCUACAGACUCAGCUUAAGCCUCGGAACUGCCCUGUGAGGCGGGGAGUGUUAUUCUGGCUUUCCAAAUGAGGGAACCAACUUCUGGGGAAGGGACCGGCCCACAGGCAGACAGCUGAGUCAGUGAUGCGCUUCAAGCCAGCCAGCCCAAAGCCAGCCCUGGCCUUUUACCAGUGUGCAACCCUGCCUCCCUAGGAUGGAGGAAAUGACCUAAGAAGCCCAGCACAGGACCCAGUGCAGGAUCAGCACUUAUCCAAAUACUCAAUGCUCAAAACACAUCGUGCUUCUGCUCCUAUCUCUUUCCAUCACAUCCACCCUUCAAGGUCCAGUUAAAGUUUCAUCGUUUCUAAGAAGCCUGACUACUCCUCGAAGGACUGAGAGCCAGGCUCCAGCGCAGGACCACGUGUUGCCUUCCGCCGGCUUUGAUGUGGAACAUUCCUUUCGCCUGACCUUGUCUUUCACGACACUGACACUUUGGGAGAACACAGGGUAUUUUGCAGACUGCCCCUCGGGUGGGUUUUGUCUCCCAUGAUUCCCCGAGGCUGUGCCUCUGGCGGCCAGGACGUCACCGAAGUGCGGCUGCGCCCCGCCU